AGAGUUUGAUCCUGGCUCAGGACGAACGCUGGCGGCGUGCUUAACACAUGCAAGUCGAGCGGUAAGGCUCCUUCGGGAGUACACGAGCGGCGAACGGGUGAGUAACACGUGAGCAAUCUGCCCUUCACAUCGGGAUAACUUCGGGAAACCGAAGCUAAUACCGGAUACGACCAUCGAUGGCAUCUUCUGAUGGUGGAAAGUUCCGGCGGUGGAGGAUGAGCUCGCGGCCUAUCAGCUUGUUGGUGGGGUAAUGGCCUACCAAGGCGACGACGGGUAGCCGGCCUGAGAGGGUGACCGGCCACACUGGGACUGAGACACGGCCCAGACUCCUACGGGAGGCAGCAGUGGGGAAUAUUGGACAAUGGGCGAAAGCCUGAUCCAGCAACGCCGCGUGAGGGAUGACGGCCUUCGGGUUGUAAACCUCUUUCAGCAGGGACGAAGCGAAAGUGACGGUACCUGCAGAAGAAGCACCGGCCAACUACGUGCCAGCAGCCGCGGUAAUACGUAGGGUGCAAGCGUUGUCCGGAAUUAUUGGGCGUAAAGGGCUCGUAGGCGGUCCAUCACGUCGGGAGUGAAAAGCUGGGGCUUAACCCCAGUCCUGCUUCCGAUACGGGUGGACUAGAGGUAGGCAGGGGAGAACGGAAUUCCUGGUGUAGCGGUGAAAUGCGCAGAUAUCAGGAGGAACACCGGUGGCGAAGGCGGUUCUCUGGGCCUUACCUGACGCUGAGGAGCGAAAGCGUGGGGAGCAAACAGGAUUAGAUACCCCGGUAGUCC
This 774-nucleotide ribosomal RNA is filed under the name uncultured Marmoricola sp. RNAcentral describes it as "bacterial SSU rRNA". It matches the Rfam family "Bacterial small subunit ribosomal RNA", at positions 8 to 796 of the family's 1533-position model. The record is from RNAcentral. Lineage: Bacteria; Bacillati; Actinomycetota; Actinomycetes; Propionibacteriales; Nocardioidaceae.